GCCUCUCUAGGCUCAGCUUCCAUCACCGCGUGGCGGAGCCCGUGUCCGGGCCAGUGCUGACUUUGAGACUUUUCUGAUGGUGACUCAUGAUAUGCAUGGAAGCAUAAGAAAUGCUCACACGAAACAUUCAGAAAACUAAACUUACCCUUACGGUAUAUGAUGCUGUGAUGGUUAACACUGAGUGUCAACUUGAUUGGAUUGAAGGAUGUGAAGUAUUUUUCCUGGGUGCGUCUGUGAGGGUGUUGCCAAAGGAGAUUAACAUUUGAGUCAGUGGACUGGGGCAGGCAGACCCACCCUCAAUGUGGGUGGGCACCGUCUAAUCAGCAGCCAACAUGGCUAGAAUAAAACAGGCAGAAGAACAUGGAAGGACUUGACUUGCUGAGUCUUCUGGCCUUCAUCUUUCUUCCAUGCUGGAUGCUUCCUGCCCUCGAACAUGAGACUCCAAGUUCUUCAGCUUUUGGACACUUGGACUUACACCAGUAGUUUGCCAGGGGCUUUUGGGCCUUUGGACACAGCCUGAAGUCUGCAAUGUCGGCUUCCCUACUUUUGAGGUUUCGGGACUCGGACUGAUCCACCACUGGCUUCCUUGCUCCUCAACUUGCAGACGACCUAUUGUGGGACUUUACCUUGUGAUCCUUAUUUCUGCCUGUCACUUAUUAUCUGGUUGAGCUGGUGGCGGGAGUCCCGGCCCAUGUGUGUUACCAGAGGGAUGGUCUAGAGAAUGAAUCCAUCUGUCAGAGGCAUCCAAGAAGAAAGGCCUGGGCCAGGAUCACAUGGAAGACCCUGAAGACAGGAUCGGGUCUUGCCUGCCUGGAUUGAACAGAGACGCAGUGACCAGUCCCAUCUGCUCCCACCCUGCUGCCCUCUGAAUCGAGAGUUUGAGGCCAUGACCAGGGUAACGUUCAGCUGGUAGAGACAACACAACCCUGCUGGCUGUUUAAGCCAUGCUGGAGUGGUGCUCACAGGGUAACAAUUUUCAAGUGCUACGGAUGCAAUAGCUCAGCGACUGGCAGCGCAGCACGUACCUGCUGUCGUGGGAGGUGAGAGCCACCAGUGCCCGACAGCGGCUGCAAGGCAGUGGUGGCGCUCUGCAGCCAGCCGGCCCACCCCUCCAACAUCUGCAAGGGGGUGGGAGGCUGCCUCACCAAGCUACCUGCUACUCAUGGGGGCGAUGGGCAUCAGGGUGGCCUGCCUGGAGCCCCGAGAGCACAUAGAAGCUGCCAGAUGAGGGCAGUGAGGCCGAGGGCCGGCAGUAGGGCUGCAGAUGCCCUGAGCCCUAAGGUCAAGGUGGAUGGAACUGCUGUGUAAGUCUGAUGCCGAGGAGACCAGGUCGUUGGGCUUUCAGUAAGGUUCUCACCUCUGUGACCAAUUACCUUGAGACUGAUGUCCUGCACCAUCCUGGAGUGUUGGGAUCUGCAGGUCGUGAAAAGGGAAACCAAGCAAUCACUUUGGAAUGACUUCCUGGAACUUCCCUGGCCCCUCCUUCGUGUUCUCUGAUGACAGCCAGGAGCUGACUCAGAAACCUCAUAAGAAGCUGAAGGCAUGACGACUUCCCUGUUAAAAAAAAAAUGUCCCACGUGUGGCCGAGUGCCACACCCAGGCAGCUGCCGAAAAAAAGCACCAGACACCAUGCAGCUGGGCCCCAGGGCCCGGCCCAACCCGGUUGGCCUUCUCCGGCACCUGCAGGGAACUUGUCCUGUCUUGUCUCUGCUCGCCCCCUGCUGGCUGCCUGGAGCCAUUCCGUGCUGGUUUCUUCGCGUCUUCUGUCAGGAGAGAGAUGCUGAUGCUUACUCAGGGAUCCGGCGGGUCAGUAUCCUGUGCCCUCUGCACGAUUCAGGGUGGGGGUGUGCGCGUGUGUGUGUGCAUGUGGACCCACAUUGAUGAGUCUGGCCCAUACACCUCCACCCUUAUUGGACCUCUCCUGGGAGCACCCUGGGAACACACAUCUCAUGCAGAAGUGUGUCUCUUGAGAGCCUAGCUCCUCCUGUCCUCCCCCAGCAUCAGAUGUACACUGUACGAGACGUGAAUUUUGCUUACAGCACAAAUCUGUGCUGGCCUAACAGCUCCCUUCUGGCCUCCCCCUUAGCAUGGAUCAGAAAGAUCCAGAAAGUGCACAGGAAAAUCAUCAACCCAUGAGGUGGGGACAGGGGAAGAGGGCAUGCCGCAUAACACCUACGUGGGUGGAGGGGCUGUGACAGCCACUUGCUUAAGCUGGUGGGACAUGAAAUAACCUCCUAAGCCACAUUUCAGCUGUGACCCUGAGGCCCCGAGGUGGAUUAACAGAGCCCUCAGCACCGAGUCUCCAAGCUGAAGGCAGUGGUCACACUCCCUGCUGCCCUCCAGGUUUGGAGGGAUGGAGAGGAGAGAGGAGGGGAAGAAGCUACCUUCUUCACUAGCCUUGCUGAGAGACAAGUGGGUACGGCCCACAGGCACCUCCACCAGCCUGCCCUCUACAUCCAGAUUCGCAAGGUCAGGGCGGCAGCAGCAGCUGGAAACAUUGGGGAAAGUCGGGGUGUUGUUUCUAUACUUAGGGGAAUCUACUGUCACCCCAGGUGGCACGGGACAUUCACGGGGCUGCUCUAGCCCAGUGCCCCUCUCCUGCAGACAGAGUCGAGACCUGACAACAGGUCAUCAUCAUUAUCAGGAUCAUGAUGACAUUAUCCCAGUGCAUCCUUGAGUGGGAGGGAGGAGAGGAAGAAGAAGGUGGCGGGGGGCAGGGGGUGUCCAUGAAGAGCAAGGUGGGAGAAUAAAGGUCCUCUGUGUUUUAGAAAUGGGAAGUGAGACGGGGCGGACAGCGACCUUCCCAAGCCUGCGCGUGCUUUGGGUAGGAUGCUCCAGCCCCUUCCUGUUCGGCCCCUGGUUGCCGACAGAGGGGCUGGCAGGCGGGACUCCUGCGGCUGGGCUUGGCGCUGCCUUCUGUGCUCACUGUCAGAGCUGAUGACAGCUCUAGGGGCUCCUCCCAGAGUCUCCGUUUCCCCCAUGGCUCUUGCACAUGGCAGAGCAUCCAUAACGGACCUGAGUUUUGUUCCGGAGUCUGAGGGCAGCAAAAUACAGGCCGUUUCCCAGAGAAGAAGGCGGCUUCAGACAGCUC
This 3091-nucleotide long non-coding RNA is filed under the name Homo sapiens (human). RNAcentral describes it as "novel transcript". The record is from RNAcentral. Lineage: Eukaryota; Metazoa; Chordata; Mammalia; Primates; Hominidae.